This is a long non-coding RNA of Rosa rugosa (rugosa rose), 746 nucleotides long. RefSeq lists it as uncharacterized. Lineage: Eukaryota; Viridiplantae; Streptophyta; Magnoliopsida; Rosales; Rosaceae. The record is from RefSeq and is a predicted model, not a curated record. The transcript is spliced from 3 exons.
UUUCAUUUUUUUUUGUCAGUAUCGUUAUGUUUUCAACUUGUUUGGCAGAGCUAUAAUGGUUUGUUUUCAACUACCUCCAUCUUAAAUAUAAGUGAAUGUCACUCAAGUUUUAAAUUCUGAUUGUGAUGAUAAUGGACGCAUUUAAAUAUAAUGGUUUGUUUUCUAAUGGAUCAUAUGAAAUGACUUUUUUUUCUUCCCCAAAUUUCACCACAGGAACCAAAGGUGGUUGAUCUUGCUCGAUUCCUGACUAAAAGUGGGACCUGUAUGUAAGGAGCAGAAAGCUAAAGUUACCUAAACUCCACAGCUAAACUUACUUCAACUUCACUAAAAAACAUGUAUUUGAUCUUUUCUUUGCGGUUGAAUCUCUCUUAAUCAAUUAGUAGGUCCUUUUGCACCUCAUAGAUAGGAUUCAUACUAAUUAUAAUUUUCUGGUGAUUGUUUAGCUGAUCAAGAUGGAGGCUGAUAUCCUCCUAUCUCUGAAAUUUGAAAUGGGAAAUCUCAAUGUUGCUACAUCCUUGAGAAAAUUCAUUGAUCUUGCUCAAGGGAGUUACUACAAAGUUCUUAUUUUGCCAAGGGCAGAUCAUUGGAGUUCCUGUAGCUUUGCAUCUAUUCAAGGUUUAUAGAACAUACCUAAUGAGAAAAUUAGUAUAGUAGUUACUAUACUUUGUAAAUUUCUUUGUAGUUGAUUCUCCUUAGAUCGGAUCUUAAUUAGUAUACAUAUUGUAAUAGUGUAUUUUGGUAACUAA